Gigantopelta aegis is the source of this 438-nucleotide long non-coding RNA. RefSeq lists it as uncharacterized. The record is from RefSeq and is a predicted model, not a curated record. Lineage: Eukaryota; Metazoa; Mollusca; Gastropoda; Neomphalida; Peltospiridae. The transcript has 4 exons.
GGAUGUGUACUGGUUAACGUAAUGAGUGAUAUCUCUCAGGGAAAAAACCUCUUGACUACAAUGAAGACACAAAUACUGCUGUAAUAACAGUUGAUGGGGAACUAGACACUGUGAAAGACAUUCCAAAUAAUGUGAAAGUGUAUCUCACUACGACGGACACUCCUAAAGGUACUGUGGAUCUGUGGUACCCCAAAGAUGCUCCUAAAGACGUAACAUCGAUUACUGUCACUUACACUGAUGAAACAGGAACUGAAAUUACAAAAGACGUACCAGUGACCAUCGACGGUGAUGUUGUGAAAGUGGAGGUUCCAGAAGGUUCCACCUUUAAGGAAGUUCCAGAGAAGCCGGAUGUUCGGGUAGUGAAGGAGGAAACACCUAAGGAUGGAGUAGUGAAUGUAUAUGGGAAACCAGUUGACAAGGUUAUAAUCACAAACAUUA